GGAAGGGGUCGCCGGAGGAGAGAGCGGAGGGCGGUCCUAGUGUGUCUCCUGGGUGCUGGGGAGGCCCUCUACCUGAGCAGUCGUGCUGUUGGCUGACUGGAGCGUCCAUUUUCCUAGUUCCAUCUGCCUGUGGGCUCUGGAGACGGAACUUAAGUCUUGGAUGAUUCCCACUGAAAGGGAGUCCCGUUCUGCCAUGACAGGCUAGUCCAGUAGAAGUCACUGGGAAAGGAGGCAAAGUGCAGUGGGAACGGAAAUCCUGAACCGCUUGAAUGAGAGACAGCCCCAGGCUUUAGGUAAAUAUUGAUGAAGAGAACGAGAAGUCUCAAUACCCACAAGACUGGAUUUAUUUUUUAAGUGUUUGCACAGGGGCUUUAGGCAAAGACCUCGCCAAGGAAUGUCUGGAGCAGGAGUGCUAACUUUGCCCUGACUAUGACAAAUACCUUAGGGGAACUGGUAAAGGAAAAAAGUUUGGGGCUGGAGAGAUGGCUCAGAGGUCUGCUCU
This is a long non-coding RNA of Onychomys torridus (southern grasshopper mouse), 502 nucleotides long. RefSeq lists it as uncharacterized. The transcript is spliced from 3 exons. NCBI's taxonomy places the organism in Eukaryota, Metazoa, Chordata, Mammalia, Rodentia, Cricetidae. The record is from RefSeq and is a predicted model, not a curated record.